Molecule: non-coding RNA, 91 nt
Filed under: uncultured Sedimentibacter sp.
Lineage: Bacteria; Bacillati; Bacillota; Tissierellia
Description: NiCo riboswitch
Rfam family: NiCo (Nickel/Cobalt) riboswitch aptamer
Source: RNAcentral
CGGUACAAACUGAGCAGGCGAUGAACAAUGUUGUUCGUGGGGCCGGGCUGGAAACAGCAACAGAUUGGAAUUUUCACAUCUGUGGGACAGU